RNAcentral lists this non-coding RNA (2069 nucleotides) under Cryptosporidium parvum. The record is from RNAcentral. Lineage: Eukaryota; Apicomplexa; Conoidasida; Eucoccidiorida; Cryptosporidiidae.
AGAUAUAAUUGUAACAAUAGUAACUGAAAUAAUACAAACUGAUAAAUAUGUCAGAUUUUUUCCAAAGUCAGCUGGCUCGCUAUUAAGGAAGAUGAUACUUUGCUUGUUUUUAGAGUUCCGUUCUAUAUUAAGGUAUAUUUCGGAAUAAGGAAGGAAUUCAUUUUUUCUUAAGUAAAGUUGAUUACAUAAAUAAUCAGAACUUGAUGAAUGCACGAUUAAAGCGGUAUUAGAGUUGGAAUUAUUAUCAGGGAAUUUAAUGAAUCCGCACUGACAAAUUCCAUUCGUGUGUUUAUUUUUAAUGUUUGCAAUACAAGUAUGAAUAAUAAAGUUUGGGUUGGAAUUUGAUUUGGAAGCUAUAUUAAUGGAUGAAUUCUUGUAUUUGAAAUUCACCUUAAAUCCACGACUAGAUCUUGAUUCAACGGAAUCGUUAAAAACAAACCCUCUAACAAACUUGAAUUCAUCUUUUCCAUUUUCUUUUUUUUGCUUACCCAACGAUAUAAGCAAUUGUUGUGUAUUGCAUUCAUUUUCCAUGCUGACAGUAGAGUUCAAUUCCUUAAAAUUAGAAGUUCUGUAUCUAAAGCCGGCAGAAUACUCGCCAAAUUUGGUUUUUCCAGGAUCAAAUUUGGAAUCUUGUUUACAGUUAGAUGAAAGCAACUCCCAAGUAAAGAUUGUGUGACAUUCAGAAGUUCCCUUGGAAUUAUUUUUGUGAGUCUCAUCAGUAGUAUUGGAACAAAUAGAUGAUAAUCCACUGUUGAAUAAUGAAAAUUCAAGUUUUCCAUGAUUAACUUCAGAGUGCAUUUGUAAGUGUAAGCUAGCAGAAAUACUGAGCUCAAUAGUGGACUUUGAGGCCACAGCAAGAAUUUGGGGAUAAUAUUUUUUUGCAAUUGGGAAAAUUUCACUCUGAGGGGGAUAAAAUCCAAAAUAUUCAGAGCCAAUUUCUGGAGAUAAUGAAAUUAUAUUGUGAGCUGCAAGUAAAUAGUCAUCUGCUUCUCCCGAAGCCUCAUAAUCCAUUGUGGGGUUUCUAGCUGCUGAUGAGAAACAAUAAUUGGAAGCAUUUUCAAAUUCAUUUCUUGAUUUUGUGAAAAAUGUUGAAUCAAAUCCUUUUUUGGCAGAAUUGACAAAAAAUGGGCCCUUCAUAUGCAUUAAGGUUUUAAUUAUACAAGAAGGAGAAGAUAUUAAAAUUUCAUACUUAAGUUCAUUAUAUAUGGAAGCGAUAUUCUCGUUUAGAUCUUUGUCCUUGCAACAAUUCCAAGGUAUAGUCCACAAAUCACCAAAUGUAUGCAGAUUAACUGCAGUAACAAAACUUUUUACAUUAUUUACAAGAUCUCUUACAGCUCGUGUUUCGGGUUCAGAAAAAGGAUAUUCCCCAGAAUACUCUUGCGGGUCACAUUUAGAAACAAGAGAGUUUUCAAAAUUGAAGUCAUAAUUACGAUUAAUAUCAACUCCAUCUUCAUCUGAUCUCCCAGAAUUACAAGUUUUCCUUUGAUUCUUUCUAAUCCCAUAAUUUCGUGUUCUUUCUAUUGCUGCAUAUCCAUCUGGAUUUACAAAUGGGACAUACCAAAUAUCGAUAUUAGAGAGUAAAAAGUUAGAAGCAGGGUCUUGCUUAUAAAUUGCAUCUUCCAUGAGUUUAGUGAUAAAGUAUAUUCCAGUUGUUAAGCCUGCAGGCUCUCUUGAAUGAUGCAUUGAUGUUAGUAAAAAUGCAGGUUUUUUACCCUGAUUAAUAUAAAAGUACGAGUCUUCUGAAUAAGAGCCAUCCAUCUUACUAAAAAAUCCGACUCUAUAAGCAUCAAUAGGCCUUCCUUCAAAACUUGUCCCUAUUUUAUGCUUCCUUAUAAAGUUUGUUCCGAAUUGUGAUGCUAAAUUAUCCAAAAUGAUCAUUGCUUCGUUCAAUUUUGGGAAACUUCUCAAUGAACCCCUAUUCAAAGAAUACAAAAUUCUUCUAAGAUCUUGGUUUUCAACACCAUAAUCCAUAUCUGGGAUUCCUAAUUCUAAAUAAUCAUCAGGGAUUGUUGAAAUUUGUUCUCUUGAAUAUUGUAGCUUCCUCUCUGGUCUUUCUACAUAUCCAAAAA